Long non-coding RNA from Etheostoma cragini (Arkansas darter), 355 nucleotides. RefSeq lists it as uncharacterized. The transcript has 3 exons. Lineage: Eukaryota; Metazoa; Chordata; Actinopteri; Perciformes; Percidae. The record is from RefSeq and is a predicted model, not a curated record.
AUUGUGUUAGUUUGAACCCGGUAAAUGUACCAGGUAUUUAUUUCAAAUAUAGGUACUACGGUAUUGCUGGUAGAUUAAAAUGAGAGCAUACAGUAGUUACACCAAUAUCUGAUUAACGUUAUAGAUUGUAGCUAGCUAGCUUUGUUUCUAUCUCCAGGCUAACUCUUUCCUCCCACCUCCAGCUAGCUAGCCUUGUUCUGCUUCUGUCAGCUAACCUUGUCAGCUCAUCCUUCUGUUUCUUCCAGUAUCGGAUCCUCCUGGGGUCAAUGUUGAAAUGUCUCGCAGCUUUUUCACCCUAAAUUUCCUCCGCAUACUUUAAAACUUUUUUGGUUUUGUUUUCAGUAAGUUGUUGAAA